Molecule: ribosomal RNA, 252 nt
Filed under: uncultured bacterium
Lineage: Bacteria
Description: partial 16S ribosomal RNA
Rfam family: Bacterial small subunit ribosomal RNA
Source: RNAcentral
AGUAACACGUGGGUAACCUGCCCUAAAGUCUGGGAUACCACUUGGAAACAGGUGCUAAUACCGGAUAACAACAAUAGCUGCAUGGCUAUUGCUUAAAAGGCGGCGUAAGCUGUCGCUAAAGGAUGGACCCGCGGUGCAUUAGCUAGUUGGUAAGGUAACGGCUUACCAAGGCGACGAUGCAUAGCCGAGUUGAGAGACUGAUCGGCCACAUUGGGACUGAGACACGGCCCAAACUCCUACGGAAGGCAGCAG